UCCACUGAGCUAUAAUAUAUCUGGAGGAAGUGCUCCUAUCUCUCUUCAGUCAAGCAAGUGAAGCCAAAAACAUGGCGGAUUUUCAAGGAUUUUCACGUUUGCUGACGCCAGAAUGACGCCACUGGUCCCAAAUCCUCGUGGUAAUUACCACUGAGCAAGGCUCAUUUUGAGCCCGCUACCACUUUCUCAUCCCCCUGAUUUUCACAAAAAUAUUUUAGCUUUUUGUUUUGAAAUUUGCCUCGGUGUUUGCCUUCUCUUCGACAUUUUAACAUUUGUUUCGAGUUGCACAAGUGGUAAGAAUCAUCCUGGCUAGUGAAAGACAGGGAACGAAUCUUCAAACCUCAAGAAAUUUUGGAAAGACGUUAUUUGUAAAGGUAAAAAAAUACUGUUUAUAUGUUCAAUAUUAAUUUGUGAUAGAGUAUGUCAAAACAAAGCGAAAUAAACAGCCCAUUUGUACUGUGUAGUGGACAAUUUUAGCAGCUGAUGUAUACAAUUAAGUUGCCCAAACUAUAUUAAUACGAGAAACAGUCUUCCUCGAAAGAAAAUGGUUGAAAUUUCAGAUUUUAGUUUCAUUUGUUAUUUCAAAUUUUACGAUAUAAAAUGCCAGUCGACCACCAUCUGCUUCAUGAUCAUACUUAUUAAAAUUAAAGUGGUUUCUAUUAUAUUAGUAUACCUAUAGAGGAAGACCUUUUUAAGCCAGAACUAUCAUGGCUUGGCUUUGAAUGAUUUAAUCCAUGUACUUUAUAACUGGCCACUGAUGGCAAUGAAAUUAUAAUGACUAAUGUGUAGAAUUAUCAAGUCUAGAUCCAAAAAUUGGCAGUUUCAUAUAUAAGAUCAGGCAUAUAUAAGAUCAAAGCUAGUUUCAUAUAUAAGAUCAGGUUUAGAGGCCUGUAGCAUUUUCUCUAGAAAUUGCAUGAGUAAAAUCAAUUUCAUAAUUAACCCGUUGAGCCGCAAUGCGCCCUAUUUAUUUUUUUACUUGCCAGAUGAUUUUACUUGUCAAUGGGGAAGCUCUGUAGCUUAUCGGUUAACCAAAAAAAACUGACAAUGUCUCUAGUUAACCUAUUGAGCCCCAGUGUGCCCUACUUUUUUUUUACUUUCUAAAGCCAGACAAUAUCACUCGUCAAUGGGGAAGCUCUGCAGCUUAGAUGAUAUUUGAUGUUGGUAAUUCAUGUAUUUUUGGAGGAAAAUAUUUUAGACAGUGGUUGUUUGCCUGACACCAAACCCCAAUAUUUACAUGCUAUUUGUCUAAGUGAACUAUUUUCCUCAUUCUUUCAACAUGCCAAAGUGAUAUAAAAUAAAUUUCAGUUGAAUUCAAGCAAGUCCUCGGGCCCGUAAGUUGUCAACUGACGACUAUCACCUUCAUUGUUAGUUAAGUAUAUAUCUGCUUAUGUCCUGGGUUCAAAUGAGUGGAAUUUCAAGAGCAUUCUGACUGGCUUUGUGCAAACAGGGGGCCUUACCGGUUAGGAUGAGGGCCAGUUGAGGUGUUAGGGUUGAGUGCAGGCAAGGUUCAUGUAAACUUAUUGUUAGCAAGAAUCAGAGAAGGAUUUUCAUAUUUUUGUUCGGGGGGGAUAAAUAUCUGGGGGGUGAUGCUGCUUGCUUUGGCCGGGGCCUGGUGGCAACGCCUGGAAAGGCCAAGGAAAAAGUUUAACAAAAUUUGUUUUCUAUGUCUGCAUGGCAAGAUUGAGACCAUAAUAUUGAUAAUUUUACAAAUUUAGUAGUAAGAAUAAUCAAAUAUGAAACCAUCAAAUCAAAAUAUAUAUAAUUUGUGGGGGUGCAAAAACUUUGGGGGGCAGUGCCAAAUGCCUCUUGGGGGGGGGGAGGGGGUUGCAAAUCAUUUCUGGGGGUAUGCCCUCCCCCAGAAAAUCCGUGCCUGGCAAGAAUGUUAUGUGUACAUAAUCAUGUGUAAUGUUGUUUGGAUUAAUUGCAUUUUAACGUUGGAAUCCAGUGUCGAACAAUAACCACAACAAUUAUUAUAUAAAGUAUUUGGUUGUUUUAGUGUAAUAUUAAUUUCUCACAUAUUUUUUUCAGAAAUAAAGCACCAUUGAGCAACUUGUUGGGAAAGAGGAGUCACAAACUGUUGAUGAAUAUAUUUAAUUAAUUACACAUAAAAUACAAUUUUAUUAACAGUAUAUUGAUUUAUGGGUUUAUUAGACCACAUUAUUUUCAUAUUAUUAAUAAUUAAAAAUAAAAUUAACAAAUAAAUUACAAAAUCAAUGUGAAAAUAUUGCAAUAAUCAAUUAAAAUGUCAAACCAGC
Molecule: non-coding RNA, 2255 nt
Organism: Paramuricea clavata
Lineage: Eukaryota; Metazoa; Cnidaria; Anthozoa; Malacalcyonacea; Plexauridae
Source: the annotation of a GenBank genome assembly